RNAcentral lists this ribosomal RNA (373 nucleotides) under uncultured bacterium. Its description in RNAcentral is "bacterial SSU rRNA". It matches the Rfam family "Bacterial small subunit ribosomal RNA", at positions 521 to 896 of the family's 1533-position model. The record is from RNAcentral.
UAAUACGGAGGGUGCAAGCGUUAUCCGGAUUCACUGGGUUUAAAGGGAGCGCAGGCGGAUUGGUAAGUCAGUGGUGAAAGGCUUGAGCUUAACUCGGGAACUGCCAUUGAUACUAUCAGUCUUGAAUAUUGUUGAGGUUUGCGGAAUGGGUCAUGUAGCGGUGAAAUGCAUAGAUAUGACCCGGAACACCUAUUGCGAAGGCAGCAGGCUAAACAAAGAUUGACGCUGAGGCUCGAAAGCGUGGGGAUCAAACAGGAUUAGAUACCCUGGUAGUCCACGCCCUAAACUAUGAUUACUCGACAUACGCGAUACACAGUGUGUGUCUGAGCGAAAGCAUUAAGUAAUCCACCUGGGAAGUACGAUCGCAAGAUUG